Macaca fascicularis (crab-eating macaque) is the source of this 107-nucleotide small nucleolar RNA. The record is from Ensembl. Lineage: Eukaryota; Metazoa; Chordata; Mammalia; Primates; Cercopithecidae.
AUCCUUUUGUAGUUCAUAAGCAUGAUGAUUAGAUUUUCAUGCUAUUUGGUAAGAUAUGCCUUCCUCAGACUUUGUUACAGCAUAGGCACAUUACAACCUGUCUGAUA